UUUUUUUUUUUUUUUUCCCCUCUGUGGCUCUACACGGUUUUGUGCUAGGUCUUGGACAGACAGCCUCCUUCUGAGUAGUGAGUAGACAGGCUUGUGGGCCCUGAGAGUGUCUCCCCGUGGUGAGGAGUAAAACCCAUUUGUUACUGGUCCCCUCACUCGCACGCCUAGACCCCUUCGGGGGGAACGUAACAGAUGGAUAUGUGGAGAACAGGUCAUUUAUUCUCUGCACCUUUGCUUCUCUGGUAUCAUCUAAAGAAGAUGUGGGGGGAAAUAAAAUAAAAUAAAUUACCCUCCCUCCCCGCCCAAAAACCCAGAUGUUGUGAUUUAUAAUUUUAGAAUAUUUUUUUAUCAUUAAAUGUACUGCACAUUUGUGACUGUGAUACAAGAAAUUA
Oreochromis niloticus (Nile tilapia) is the source of this 392-nucleotide long non-coding RNA. RefSeq lists it as uncharacterized. The record is from RefSeq and is a predicted model, not a curated record. NCBI's taxonomy places the organism in Eukaryota, Metazoa, Chordata, Actinopteri, Cichliformes, Cichlidae. The transcript is spliced from 3 exons.